RNAcentral lists this ribosomal RNA (799 nucleotides) under Wolbachia endosymbiont of Varroa destructor. RNAcentral's name for it is "bacterial SSU rRNA". It matches the Rfam family "Bacterial small subunit ribosomal RNA", at positions 125 to 961 of the family's 1533-position model. The record is from RNAcentral. Lineage: Bacteria; Pseudomonadati; Pseudomonadota; Alphaproteobacteria; Rickettsiales; Anaplasmataceae.
UCUACCUAGUAGUAUGGAAUAAUUGUUGGAAACGGCAACUAAUACCGUAUACGCCCUACGGGGGAAAAAUUUAUUGCUAUUGGAUGAGCCUAUAUUAGAUUAGCUAGUUGGUGGAGUAAUAGCCUACCAAGGCAAUGAUCUAUAGCUGAUCUGAGAGGAUGAUCAGCCACACUGGAACUGAGAUACGGUCCAGACUCCUACGGGAGGCAGCAGUGGGGAAUAUUGGACAAUGGGCGAAAGCCUGAUCCAGCCAUGCCGCAUGAGUGAAGAAGGCCUUUGGGUUGUAAAGCUCUUUUAGUGAGGAAGAUAAUGACGGUACUCACAGAAGAAGUCCUGGCUAACUCCGUGCCAGCAGCCGCGGUAAUACGGAGAGGGCUAGCGUUAUUCGGAAUUAUUGGGCGUAAAGGGCGCGUAGGCUGGUUAAUAAGUUAAAAGUGAAAUCCCGAGGCUUAACCUUGGAAUUGCUUUUAAAACUAUUAAUCUAGAGAUUGAAAGAGGAUAGAGGAAUUCCUGAUGUAGAGGUAAAAUUCGUAAAUAUUAGGAGGAACACCAGUGGCGAAGGCGUCUAUCUGGUUCAAAUCUGACGCUGAAGCGCGAAGGCGUGGGGAGCAAACAGGAUUAGAUACCCUGGUAGUCCACGCUGUAAACGAUGAAUGUUAAAUAUGGGAAGUUUACUUUCUGUAUUACAGCUAACGCGUUAAACAUUCCGCCUGGGGACUACGGUCGCAAGAUUAAAACUCAAAGGAAUUGACGGGGACCCGCACAAGCGGUGGAGCAUGUGGUUUAAUUCGAUGCAACG